This is a non-coding RNA of Oryctolagus cuniculus (rabbit), 1621 nucleotides long. The record is from RefSeq and is a predicted model, not a curated record. NCBI's taxonomy places the organism in Eukaryota, Metazoa, Chordata, Mammalia, Lagomorpha, Leporidae.
GUCAGAGCUGAGGUCAGCAUCAGUUAUUUACAUGAAAAACCUUGGGACACCUACCUUCCCCAAAGUCCGAUUUAGAAUUUUAGCUUCUCUAAAAACACGUGAACUUCUAAAACCAAGUGGUAUUAAUCUUCUCAAAAAUCUACUGCUAAUUAAAAAAUCUCUUAGCACCAGAAGAAACAUUCAACUAGGCCAAUGGUUCCUAACAUAAAAUGGGAUACUUCAAGGGAUAGGGGGCACCAGUCUGUAUAACAACCGGCAUUGCGGAGAUUUAAGAAAACCACUGGUGUGGACGGGAGGAGGCUUUCAUACAUAAAAAAGUAAAGUGUUGCCAGGUCUUCCCUAAAAAUCAGUUUGCCUUUUUCUAUGACAGCUCACAUGUGGAAUUAGUCAAUGGAUGGUUUCACUGGCAGUCUAUGUGAACAACGGCCAGAUGAGAGCAAACAAUGGGCCUGGCUGAAAGCCAGAGCUUACUGCCUUUAGAAGUUGACCCUGCUGUCAGCCAUAACCACUCGUGAACUCUCAGAGAAUGUGUCUGAAUGUGAGAAGGAAGAACUAAGUACUUUGACAUUACUCAAGGCGCAGGUUCGAGACCUGGCUGCUCCACUUCCGAUCCAGCUCUCUGCUAUGGCCUGAGAAGGCAGUGGAGGAUGGCGCAAGUCCUUGGACCCCUGCACCCGCGUGGGAGACCCAGAGGAAACUCCUGGCUCCUGGGUUCAGAUUGGCACAGCUCCAGCCAUCGCAUCCAACUGGGGAGUGAACCAGCAGAUAGGAGACCCCCUUCCUUUCUGCCUUUCCUUCUCUUUCGGUGUAACUCUGAUUUCAAAUAAAUACAUAAAUCCUAAAUUAUUUUAACUAACAUUACUGUCCCCUAGGGUGCCUAUAUCAGGAGACAGGAGCUAGAAAUUGAACCCAUGUACUGUGUUCUGGAAAGCAGGCAUCUUAACUAGGCUAAAUGCCAACCACAAUAUAGGUGUUUCUUUUUUUUUAGUUUUUAACAGUUUCAAUAUAGUUCAUAGACAAUACCACAGAUGUUUUCUAUACACAUCUCUCAUGCAUCUUCUCAAACUACUGCUAUCAAAAUAUCCUCAAAGAAUUUUCUACAUAUGUCUAUUUUAACAAUAAUCCCACUGUAUUCUUGCUUUAUAGCUCUGGCUAUUUCCUUAGACUGAACUUCUGGAUCAUCAGGAUCUGUAUUAUUUCUUUUUCUAUUUCUAAUAUUCCAUACAGGGUCAGUAAAUUAAUGAAACCGUAAUACAACAGUCUUUUUCCAAAGGGAUCAAAAUCUAAAUGAAAGCCAUAAUGAGGGGGGCCGGCCCUGUAGCAUAGAAGGUAAAGCCUCCACCUUCAGUGCUGGCAUCCCAUAUGGGCGCUGGUUCGGGUCCUGGCUGCUCCACUUCUGAUCCAGUUCUCUGCUAUGGCCUGGAAGAACAGUAGAAGAUGGCCCAAGUCCUUGGGCCCCUGCACUCUUGUGGGAGACCCAGAGGAGGCUCCUGGCUCCUGGAUUGGGAUCAGCACAGCUCCAGCUGUUGCAGCCAACUGGGGAACGAACCAGUGGAUGGGAGAUCUUUCUCUGUUUAACUCUUUCAAAUAAAUAAAUAAAAUUAAAAAAAAAAAAAAAAAA